RNAcentral lists this ribosomal RNA (1040 nucleotides) under Enterococcus hirae ATCC 9790. RNAcentral's name for it is "bacterial SSU rRNA". It matches the Rfam family "Bacterial small subunit ribosomal RNA", at positions 488 to 1528 of the family's 1533-position model. The record is from RNAcentral. Lineage: Bacteria; Bacillati; Bacillota; Bacilli; Lactobacillales; Enterococcaceae.
AAGCCACGGCUAACUACGUGCCAGCAGCCGCGGUAAUACGUAGGUGGCAAGCGUUGUCCGGAUUUAUUGGGCGUAAAGCGAGCGCAGGCGGUUUCUUAAGUCUGAUGUGAAAGCCCCCGGCUCAACCGGGGAGGGUCAUUGGAAACUGGGAGACUUGAGUGCAGAAGAGGAGAGUGGAAUUCCAUGUGUAGCGGUGAAAUGCGUAGAUAUAUGGAGGAACACCAGUGGCGAAGGCGGCUCUCUGGUCUGUAACUGACGCUGAGGCUCGAAAGCGUGGGGGGCAAACAGGAUUAGAUACCCUGGUAGUCCACGCCGUAAACGAUGAGUGCUAAGUGUUGGAGGGUUUCCGCCCUUCAGUGCUGCAGCUAACGCAUUAAGCACUCCGCCUGGGGAGUACGACCGCAAGGUUGAAACUCAAAGGAAUUGACGGGGGCCCGCACAAGCGGUGGAGCAUGUGGUUUAAUUCGAAGCAACGCGAAGAACCUUACCAGGUCUUGACAUCCUUUGACCACUCUAGAGAUAGAGCUUCCCCUUCGGGGGCAAAGUGACAGGUGGUGCAUGGUUGUCGUCAGCUCGUGUCGUGAGAUGUUGGGUUAAGUCCCGCAACGAGCGCAACCCUUAUUGUUAGUUGCCAUCAUUUAGUUGGGCACUCUAGCAAGACUGCCGGUGACAAACCGGAGGAAGGUGGGGAUGACGUCAAAUCAUCAUGCCCCUUAUGACCUGGGCUACACACGUGCUACAAUGGGAAGUACAACGAGUCGCAAAGUCGCGAGGCUAAGCUAAUCUCUUAAAGCUUCUCUCAGUUCGGAUUGUAGGCUGCAACUCGCCUACAUGAAGCCGGAAUCGCUAGUAAUCGCGGAUCAGCACGCCGCGGUGAAUACGUUCCCGGGCCUUGUACACACCGCCCGUCACACCACGAGAGUUUGUAACACCCGAAGUCGGUGAGGUAACCUUUUGGAGCCAGCCGCCUAAGGUGGGAUAGAUGAUUGGGGUGAAGUCGUAACAAGGUAGCCGUAUCGGAAGGUGCGGCUGGAUCACCU